Long non-coding RNA from Amphiprion ocellaris (clown anemonefish), 1022 nucleotides. The record is from Ensembl. NCBI's taxonomy places the organism in Eukaryota, Metazoa, Chordata, Actinopteri, Pomacentridae.
UCCCCCGCCCCACCUCCUCUCUGAAGGGCUGGAACGGGGAGGCCACGACCUCCGGGCCUGAAAUUUAAACUCCUCGUAAAAAACAGUUGGAAAGGGAGGAGAAAACACCCUUUCAGACACCCAUGUUUUCUUUCUUGCUCUGUUUACUUAAUGCCAGGCCUGUCAUGUUCCCGUGGCGCAGACGGCAGCUGAAUGUUUCUCCUGUGGGCCUCGUACUGCUUUGGUUGCUUCUAGAACUGCGGCUGAAAUUUAACAAGCUCCUGUGCUGUUUACUCUGCUCAGCCUCCAUCCAUCCACAUAAUAACAGCCCUAAUCAAGCCAUAUGCCGACGCUUUGCUUUAUGAUUUGUUUGUAUGAACAAUAAUACAACAAAUCUGGAGGACGCCUGCAGGAAUGCAGCUUUGAAAUGCUCUGAUGAAGUGUUUUGGCUUUGUUUUACAGAUUUGGCCUGGGGGCUUUGGGCAGCGUGCUGGAUGAGGGGAGUUCCCCACUUAAAAAAGUGAAAACAAACUUAGAAGUUGGAAGAGGCCCAAGAGAAGAAAGUCACCUUUGGAUGGAGAGAGAAAAAAAGAAGGGGAGGACAGGCGGUGAGGGCCAGUGACCUGCACCUCCAGAAGAAACCGGAGACACCUUGGAGGGAAAAGAGAAAUGCCCUUUAACUCUCCUCCACAUCACAUCUGGACGAGCACAGCCGUCCUCCUCUCUCCUUUCCGUCUCCCUCCAGCAUCACCACCCAAAAUCCAAACCACCCACCCUUUCUCUCCCAUCCGGUCCUGAACUUGGAUGGACUCAGCAGCUCCAGAGGCCCAAACCUGCACCCUGUAUCCAUGGAAACCAGUGUGCACAUCCCAUAGAGACAGCUAUUACAUUUUUGAGGAUACAGAGUCGAGUUUCACUUGCACAAAAAAUGAUUAAACAAACACACCAAAAAAAAAAAAAAAAAAUCACAUUUUGAUGUUAAAAAAUGUCCUCAUAAAAUCAGUUUUAUAUCUUAAAAGGAAAUGAAAAAUUCCACAACAGCC